UGUCGGGAAUUAUACCGGUCAAUCGUAAUGCUCAUAACCUGAAGGUCAGAGGUUCAAAUCCUCUCCCCGCAACCA
This 75-nucleotide transfer RNA is filed under the name Micavibrio aeruginosavorus. RNAcentral describes it as "tRNA-Met". The record is from RNAcentral. Lineage: Bacteria; Pseudomonadati; Bdellovibrionota; Bdellovibrionia; Bdellovibrionales; Pseudobdellovibrionaceae.